Molecule: long non-coding RNA, 1694 nt
Organism: Talpa occidentalis (Iberian mole)
Lineage: Eukaryota; Metazoa; Chordata; Mammalia; Eulipotyphla; Talpidae
Exons: 5
Source: RefSeq, a predicted model, not a curated record
AACAAAAAGGAAAUGCUCUGCUCAGCUAUUAGUUUGGUCAAACCCCCACUUGUCGCCAAAGUCUGGAUGAUUAAGAGCUGAAGAAACAUACCAAAUAUUCCUGAGUGUCCUAUCAAGAAGGAAUGCCAUCUUAGAUAGUGUGUCUGGCACACUCCCUAAAGUUAACAUUUGCAGUAACCUGUGUUUUUUGUCUUCACGCUCCUAGGUAAGCUACUGGGCUUUUUGACAUCUGAGACCUUCCAGCUGAAUUCAUGUGAACACUGGCAGCUGCCAAAACACCAUGAAGAAAGCAGGAUGGGACAGCAGGAGCUGGGAGUACAUUCAUGACCUUGACAUCUGGUCUGCUGAGAAGCUGUCCCUCAGAGAGAUUAUAUGGCAAGGGGAAGUGCCAGUGUUUUAUGCCCCCUCCUCGCCUCACAACAUGUUAAGCAGAACAGCAGUCCACAGUAAAGGACUCCACAAACGCCGACUGUGCUGAGCAAGCCGAGCUAGGAGGGCGGAGUAGAGCUAACAUGGCCAACCUGCCCCAAGGAGGAGAUGGCCUGGCCGGUGCUGGGAAAGCUGGCUUAGGGACAGAGCUGCUCAGGCUUCAACACCUGCAGGUUACUUGGGCCAACAGGAGGACAUUCUUCUGCCUACACCAGCUUUCUGCGACUUUAGCAGACAAGUGAGCUCUGGAAACAAUCACUGAGCAGAUCUGUAAGCAGCAAGAAUGGCUCUGAAAACUUCUGAGUUCAACUAUUCAAAAGCAACCACCUACAGGAAGUCUAAUCAGGAAGGUAAAAGACAACAGCUAUUCCAACUGCCCUCUGUGAUUCUAACCCCUUGCAGCUAUCCACAGCUAACAGCAGCAAGACACUCUUCAGGUUGAAAACCAAAGAAACAAAGCUAAAACACUUGGCGAAUUUUAAUAUAUGGAAGUGCUAACAACAGAUGAUCACUGGGGAUUCAAUGUCAUUGAUAUCAGGGCAAAGUCAUCAAUAUUUUGUUGUUGCUGAAACGAAGGCCAACUGGACAAAGUCUUUGUGCGCACACUCUAGAGACACUGUGGUACUCACACGUGUGAACAGCUGGAGUUAACCUUGCUUUUAUUCAUCCUUAUCUCUGAGGUUCAAAACUUGUCCUUACUUUUCAUCCCCUAAAUUUUGAUAGAUGAGGUUGAUCUUUUAAUACCAACCGACAACAUCCUAUAAGCAUCAGCUUCUCCGGGAAGAGCAAAUCAAGGCCUGCGAGCAAUCAAAGGCCACAGGACCAGAUUAAUCAUAAACCUAGACAACAACGGAUCCUGGAUUUUCUUCAAACACUUCCUUUCCUGUCUUUUGUUUCAACAGAACUGUACCUUCAAGGUUAACUGCAGUCUCUCUGAGCAGCAGACCAGCGCACCCUAGACCGGGAGGCACUCAUUCCUAAUCUAAGGUCCUUUCUUUACUUAUCUAUACCACUUCAUCUGAAAAAUGCUGUUAUUCACAGACAGUCAAACAAUAUACAGGCAUUCCAACCCACACAGGUCAACUCUGCAGAGAGCCAACACACCCACCUCACUGCAAAAUACAAAAAGGAUGGUUUUCCAUCAAGUUUCGGGCAAGAAACAAAAGCAAAAAUGAAAAGCAACUCAGAUCUGAAAAACCCUUACAAGUUGGUUUCUCCCCCAAAGAACAGAGUGGGGGUACAAUGGGUAUUGGGGGGGUGGGGUG